GACGAACGCUGGCGGCGUGCUUAACACAUGCAAGUCGAACGGAAAGGCCCUGCUUUUGUGGGGUGCUCGAGUGGCGAACGGGUGAGUAACACGUGAGUAACCUGCCCUUGACUUUGGGAUAACUUCAGGAAACUGGGGCUAAUACCGGAUAGGAGCUCCUGCUGCAUGGUGGGGGUUGGAAAGUUUCGGCGGUUGGGGAUGGACUCGCGGCUUAUCAGCUUGUUGGUGGGGUAGUGGCUUACCAAGGCUUUGACGGGUAGCCGGCCUGAGAGGGUGACCGGCCACAUUGGGACUGAGAUACGGCCCAGACUCCUACGGGAGGCAGCAGUGGGGAAUAUUGCACAACGGGCGGAAGCCUGAUGCAGCAACGCCGCGUGCGGGAUGACGGCCUUCGGGUUGUAAACCGCCUUCGCCUGUGACGAAGCGUGAGUGACGGUAAUGGGUAAAGAAGCACCGGCUAACUACGUG
Molecule: ribosomal RNA, 468 nt
Filed under: uncultured bacterium
Lineage: Bacteria
Description: partial 16S ribosomal RNA
Rfam family: Bacterial small subunit ribosomal RNA
Source: RNAcentral